Molecule: ribosomal RNA, 400 nt
Filed under: phytoplankton environmental sample
Lineage: Eukaryota
Description: partial small subunit ribosomal RNA
Rfam family: Eukaryotic small subunit ribosomal RNA
Source: RNAcentral
AGCUCCAAUAGCGUAUAUUAAAGUUGUUGCAGUUAAAAAGCUCGUAGUUGGAUUUGGGACUGGAGUCGUCGGGUCGGCCGCGAGGUCUGUUACUGGACGGCUCCGUCAUUUCAUCUCUCGGAGACCCGUCGUGCACUUCGCUGUGCGCGGCGCGGGACUCGGGACGUUUACUUUGAAAAAAUUAGAGUGUUCAAAGCAGGCUUUUCAAGCCCGGAUACGUGAGCAUGGAAUAAUGGAAUAGGACCGCGGUUCUAUUUUGUUGGUUUCUACGACCGCAGUAAUGAUUAAGAGGGACAAUUGGGGGCGUCCGUAUUUCGUUGUCAGAGGUGAAAUUCUUGGAUUUACGAAAGACGAACAACUGCGAAAGCAUUCGCCAAGAGUGUUUUCAUUAAUCAAGAAC